RNAcentral lists this ribosomal RNA (425 nucleotides) under uncultured bacterium. RNAcentral describes it as "bacterial SSU rRNA". It matches the Rfam family "Bacterial small subunit ribosomal RNA", at positions 123 to 518 of the family's 1533-position model. The record is from RNAcentral.
AACCUGCCUCUAAGAUAGGGGACGAACAGAGCGAAAGUUACUGCUAAUACCGAAUGUUGUAUCUUUACCGCAUGGUGGAGAUAUUAAAGAUGGCCUCUACUUGUAAGCUAUCACUUAGAGAUGGGCCUGCGUCUGAUUAGCUAGUUGGUGGGGUAACGGGCUCACCAAGGCGACGAUCAGUAGCCGGUCUGAGAGGAUGAACGGCCACAUUGGGACUGAGACACGGCCCAGACUCCUACGGGAGGCAGCAGUGGGGAAGUCUUCCGCAAUGGGCGAAAGCCUGACGGAGCAACGCCGCGUGAAGUGAAGAAGGUCUUCGGAUCGUAAAGCUCUGUCGAAGGGGACGAACGUGGGUUCUAUCAACAACGGGACCUAAUGACGGUACCUUUCAAGAAAGCCACGGCUAACUACGUGCCAGCAGCCGC